Molecule: ribosomal RNA, 384 nt
Filed under: Clostridioides difficile
Lineage: Bacteria; Bacillati; Bacillota; Clostridia; Peptostreptococcales; Peptostreptococcaceae
Description: bacterial LSU rRNA
Rfam family: Bacterial large subunit ribosomal RNA
Source: RNAcentral
CUGGUCUUGGGACACUGUCAGGUGGGCAGUUUGACUGGGGCGGUCGCCUCCCAAAAGGUAACGGAGGCGCGCAAAGGUUCUCUCAGUACGGUCGGAAAUCGUACGUAGAGUGUAAAGGCAAAAGAGAGCUUGAUUGCAAGACAUACAGGUCGAGCAAGGAUGAAAAUCGGACUUAGUGAUCCGGUGGUUCUGCGUGGAAGGGCCAUCGCUCAACGGAUAAAAGCUACCCGGGGGAUAACAGGCUUAUCUCCCCCAAGAGUCCACAUCGACGGGGAGGUUUGGCACCUCGAUGUCGGCUCAUCACAUCCUGGGGCUGUAGUAGGUCCCAAGGGUUGGGCUGUUCGCCCAUUAAAGUGGUACGCGAGCUGGGUUCAGAACGUCGUG